AUUGAACGCUGGCGGCAUGCCUUACACAUGCAAGUCGAACGGCAGCACGGGUGCUUGCACCUGGUGGCGAGUGGCGAACGGGGGAGUAAUACAUCGGAACAUGUCCUGUAGUGGGGGAUAGCCCGGCGAAAGCCGGAUUAAUACCGCAUACGAUCUACGGAUGAAAGCGGGGGACCUUCGGGCCUCGCGCUAUAGGGUUGGCCGAUGGCUGAUUAGCUAGUUGGUGGGGUAAAGGCCUACCAAGGCGACGAUCAGUAGCUGGUCUGAGAGGACGACCAGCCACACUGGGACUGAGACACGGCCCAGACUCCUACGGGAGGCAGCAGUGGGGAAUUUUGGACAAUGGGCGAAAGCCUGAUCCAGCAAUGCCGCGUGUGUGAAGAAGGCCUUCGGGUUGUAAAGCACUUUUGUCCGGAAAGAAAUCAUUGGCCAUAAUACGGUCGGGGGAUGACGGUACCGGAAGAAUAAGCACCGGCUAACUACGUG
Molecule: ribosomal RNA, 486 nt
Filed under: uncultured bacterium
Lineage: Bacteria
Description: partial 16S ribosomal RNA
Rfam family: Bacterial small subunit ribosomal RNA
Source: RNAcentral